Molecule: long non-coding RNA, 408 nt
Filed under: Brassica napus (rape)
Lineage: Eukaryota; Viridiplantae; Streptophyta; Magnoliopsida; Brassicales; Brassicaceae
Description: long non-coding RNA (BNAP_LNC026780)
Source: RNAcentral
CAGCUUAAGUUGGAAGGAACACAACUUUAAACUAAUGAGCAUUAGGUUUACAAACAAUCCAUUGAAACCUUUCACCAAACUCAUUGAUCUUCAAGGAUUCGCUAAUACAAACUACAUGGCUGUUACCGGAGGGACUGGUGUAGCAGUAAAGAAAAACCUUAACUUUACACUUCGCCAGGACGUUCACUUGUCCUGCUGCUCAUUGCCUCCUCCAUGAGGGUGACUUUCUUUCACAUGUUACAUGAAUUUUCUGAAUAUUAAAAAUAUCAUCACAAAAUUUUGAUGAAGUCAUCAAAGUUUCAAAAAAAAAACAUUUUGAUGAACUCAUUCUUGGUUUAUUUCUUCAUCUGUUUUUUUUUUUUGGCAGUGUUUCUUUUUGAGGGACAAUGAGAGUAAUACAACUAAAUA